AACGAACGCUGGCGGCGUGCCUAACACAUGCAAGUCGAGGGAGAAAGCCCGCAAGGGCGAGUAAACCGGCGAACGGGUGCGUAACACGUGGAUCAUCUACCUUCCUGACUGGGACAACUGGCCGAAGGGCUUGCUAAUACCAGAUAAGCCCACGACGUUUACGGACGUUGAGGGAAAAGGUGGCCUCUGCAUGCAAGCUAUCGCAGGGAGAUGAGUCCGCGGCCCAUCAGCUAGUUGGCGGGGUAAAGGCCCACCAAGGCUACGACGGGUAGCUGGUCUGAGAGGAUGAUCAGCCACACUGGGAACUGAGACACGGGUCCAGACCUCCUACGGGAGGCAGCAGUGGGGAAUCUUGCGCAAUGGGCGAAAGCCUGACGCAGCAACGCCGCGUGUGUGAUGAAGGUCUUCGGAUCGUAAAGCACUGUCGCGAGGG
Molecule: ribosomal RNA, 433 nt
Filed under: uncultured bacterium
Lineage: Bacteria
Description: bacterial SSU rRNA
Rfam family: Bacterial small subunit ribosomal RNA
Source: RNAcentral